CAGAGUGAGUGUUCCGGAGAGCACGUGUUAGGGAAGGAGGAGGCUGCGGGCUAACCUGCCGGGAGGGAGGAUGCUGCUGCCUGUUUCCUAUUAGUGACAACCCACCUCCUAAUCACGUCCUGCUUCAAACAAGAACACUGCCCCUUCCACCUGCGAAGAUGAAGAGUUCAAAGUCCCAGCCAGUUACUACAUUCAGCUCAAAAAACGAGACCUACAAGACUCCAUGGCCGAGUUAAUCGCUGAUGGAGCCUGAACUGAACCCAAAGCCUUCCGGUGAUUCUGAUCACACACUUGGAGCGGCUAGAGAAGACCUAGACAGAUAUAGUCAUCAAAUGGAAAAAUCCUCAACAUCCUUGUGAAUGGCAGCAUGUGAA
This 374-nucleotide long non-coding RNA is filed under the name Homo sapiens (human). Its description in RNAcentral is "HSALNT0348825". Lineage: Eukaryota; Metazoa; Chordata; Mammalia; Primates; Hominidae. The record is from RNAcentral.